GAUGAACGCUGUCUACAGGCUUAACACAUGCAAGUCGAGGGGAAACGACGGGGAAGCUUGCUUCCCCGGGCGUCGACCGGCGCACGGGUGAGUAACGCGUAUCCAACCUGCCUCUGACUGAGGGAUAACCCGUCGAAAGUCGACCUAAUACCUCAUGGCAUCGUCUGCGGGCAUCCAACGACGAUUAAAGAUUUCAUCGGUCAGGGAUGGGGAUGCGUCUGAUUAGCUUGUUGGCGGGGUAACGGCCCACCAAGGCUACGAUCAGUAGGGGUUCUGAGAGGAAGGUCCCCCACAUUGGAACUGAGACACGGUCCAAACUCCUACGGGAGGCAGCAGUGAGGAAUAUUGGUCAAUGGGCGGGAGCCUGAACCAGCCAAGUAGCGUGCAGGAUGACGGCCCUAUGGGUUGUAAACUGCUUUUAUGCGGGGAUAAAGUGAGGGACGUGUCCUUCAUUGCAGGUACCGCAUGAAUAAGGACCGGCUAAUUCCGUG
RNAcentral lists this ribosomal RNA (491 nucleotides) under uncultured bacterium. RNAcentral's name for it is "partial 16S ribosomal RNA". It matches the Rfam family "Bacterial small subunit ribosomal RNA", at positions 28 to 507 of the family's 1533-position model. The record is from RNAcentral.